GGGAUUGCCUUAGUAACUGCGAGUGAAGCGGCAAAAGCUCAAAUUUGAAAUCUGGCGUCUUCGGCGUCCGAGUUGUAAUUUGGAGGGAUAUCUUCGGGGUUGGCGCCGUCCUAAGUUCCUUGGAACAGGACGUCAUAGAGGGUGAGAAUCCCGUGCCUGGAUGGCUGCCCAACUCCAUGUGAAGUGUCUCCGACGAGUCGAGUUGUUUGGGAAUGCAGCUCAAAAUGGGUGGUAAAUUUCAUCUAAAGCUAAAUAUUGGCGAGAGACCGAUAGCGCACAAGUAGAGUGAUCGAAAGAUGAAAAGCACUUUGAAAAGAGAGUUAAAAAGUACGUGAAAUUGUUGAAAGGGAAGCGCUUGCGACCAGACUCGAUCUUUGGUGAUCAGCCGGGCUUCGGUUCGGUGCCCUCACCAUUGAUUGGGCCAGCAUCGGUUCUGACGGCGGGAUAAAAGGAGGAGGAAUGUGGCUCCCUUCGGGGAGUGUUAUAGCCUCCUUCACAAUGCCGCCAGUUGGGACCGAGGACCGCGCUUCGGCUAGGAUGCUGGCGUAAUGGUCUUAAGCGACCCGUCUUGAAACACGGACCAAGGAGUCUAACAUCUAUGCGAGUGUUCGGGUGGAAAACCCUUGCGCGUAAUGAAAGUGAACGGAGGUGUGAACCCUUUACGGGGUGCAACAUCGACCGGUCCUGAUGUCUUCGGAAGGAUCUGAGUAAGAGCAUAGCUGUUGGGACCCGAAAGAUGGUGAACUAUGCCUGAAUAGGGUGAAGCCAGAGGAAACUCUGGUGGAGGCUCGCAGCGGUUCUGACGUGCAA
This 810-nucleotide ribosomal RNA is filed under the name Tricharina sp. RNAcentral's name for it is "partial large subunit ribosomal RNA". It matches the Rfam family "Eukaryotic large subunit ribosomal RNA", at positions 71 to 896 of the family's 3401-position model. Lineage: Eukaryota; Fungi; Ascomycota; Pezizomycetes; Pezizales; Pyronemataceae. The record is from RNAcentral.